UAAUAAGUGUUUUAUGGCACUUUUUAAAUCCAUAUCCACCUUGUGUGCAAUGUCAGUCGAUCUUCUUCAUGGAGAUCGACCAAACAUCAACCUUUAUCUUUUAACUCUUUGUCUGAAAAAAUAUUAUGAAUAAACAAUUCAAAAUA
RNAcentral lists this unclassified non-coding RNA (146 nucleotides) under soil metagenome. RNAcentral describes it as "partial internal transcribed spacer 1". The record is from RNAcentral.